UACGAAGGGGGCUAGCGUUGCUCGGAAUUACUGGGCGUAAAGGGCGCGUAGGCGGGUUGUCAAGUUGGAGGUGAAAGCCCAGGGCUCAACCUUGGAAUUGCCUUCAAAACUGACAACCUGGAGUAUGGAAGAGGUAAGUGGAACUCCGAGUGUAGAGGUGAAAUUCGUAGAUAUUCGGAAGAACACCAGUGGCGAAGGCGACUUACUGGUCCAUGACUGACGCUGAGGAGCGAAAGCGUGGGGAGCAAACAGG
This 253-nucleotide ribosomal RNA is filed under the name uncultured bacterium. RNAcentral's name for it is "partial 16S ribosomal RNA". It matches the Rfam family "Bacterial small subunit ribosomal RNA", at positions 524 to 776 of the family's 1533-position model. The record is from RNAcentral.